GUCCACGCCGUAAACGAUGGAUGCUAGCCGUCAGCAAGCAUGCUUGUUGGUGGCGCAGCUAACGCAUUAAGCAUCCCGCCUGGGGAGUACGGCCGCAAGGUUAAAACUCAAAGGAAUUGACGGGGGCCCGCACAAGCGGUGGAGCAUGUGGUUUAAUUCGACGCAACGCGAAGAACCUUACCAGCCCUUGACAUGCCCGGACGGUUUCCAGAAACGGAUUCCUCCUAGCAAUAGGUCGGGACACAGGUGCUGCAUGGCUGUCGU
This 264-nucleotide ribosomal RNA is filed under the name uncultured bacterium. Its description in RNAcentral is "partial 16S ribosomal RNA". It matches the Rfam family "Bacterial small subunit ribosomal RNA", at positions 793 to 1055 of the family's 1533-position model. The record is from RNAcentral.